GAUGCGGNCUANCAUGCAGUCGCACGAGAACGCUUCAGCUUGCUGAAGUUAGUAAAGUGGCGCACGGGUGAGUAACGCGUGGGUAAUCUCCCCCUGAAUUGGGGAUAACAUUGCGAAAGCGAUGCUAAUACCGGAUAACAUCUUUUCGACUUCGGUCUAUAAGAUCAAAGGUGGCCUCUACAUGUAAGCUACUGUUUGGGGAUGAGCCCGCGUACCAUUAGCUUGUUGGUAGGGUAACGGCUUACCAAGGCCGCGAUGGUUAGCUGGUCUGAGAGGAUGACCAGCCACACUGGAACUGACACACGGUCCAGACUCCUACGGGAGGCAGCAGUGAGGAAUUUUGCGCAAUGGGGGAAACCCUGACGCAGCAACGCCGCGUGAGUGAUGAAGGCUUUCGGGUCGUAAAGCUCUGUCAAGUGGGAAGAACCCACGUGGUGCUAAUAUCACCAUGUGCUGACGGUACCACUGAAGGAAGCACCGGCUAACUCCGUGCCAGCAGCCGCGGUAAUACGGGGGGUGCAAGCGUUAUUCGGAAUUACUGGGCGUAAAGAGCGCGUAGGCGGUCUCUUAAGUCAGGUGUGAAAGCCCGGGGCUCAACCCCGGAAGUGCACUUGAAACUAAGGGACUUGAGUAUGGGAGAGGGAAGUGGAAUUCCUGGUGUAGCGGUGAAAUGCGUAGAUAUCAGGAGGAACGUCGGUGGCGAAGGCGACUUCCUGGACCAAUACUGACGCUGAGGCGCGAAGGCGUGGGGAGCAAACAGGAUUAGAUACCCUGGUAGUCCACGCAGUAAACGGUGAACACUAGGUGUAGCGGGUAUUGACCCCUGCUGUGCCGCAGCUAACGCAUUAAG
Molecule: ribosomal RNA, 850 nt
Filed under: uncultured bacterium
Lineage: Bacteria
Description: bacterial SSU rRNA
Rfam family: Bacterial small subunit ribosomal RNA
Source: RNAcentral